UACGUAGGCGGCAAGCGUUAUCCGGAAUUAUUGGGCGUAAAGAGCGCGCAGGUGGUUGAUUAAGUCUGAUGUGAAAGCCCACGGCUCAACCGUGGAAGGUCAUUGGAAACUGGGGAACUUGAGUGCAGAAGAGGAGAGUGGAAUUCCAUGUGUAGCGGUGAAAUGCGUAGAUAUAUGGAGGAACACCAGUGGCGAAGGCGACUCUCUGGUCUGUAACUGACGCUGAGGCUCGAAAGCGUGGGGAGCAAACAGGAUUA
This 257-nucleotide ribosomal RNA is filed under the name uncultured prokaryote. RNAcentral describes it as "partial 16S ribosomal RNA". It matches the Rfam family "Bacterial small subunit ribosomal RNA", at positions 524 to 780 of the family's 1533-position model. The record is from RNAcentral.